RNAcentral lists this ribosomal RNA (501 nucleotides) under uncultured bacterium. RNAcentral describes it as "bacterial SSU rRNA". It matches the Rfam family "Bacterial small subunit ribosomal RNA", at positions 29 to 517 of the family's 1533-position model. The record is from RNAcentral.
AACGAACGCUGGCGGCGCGUCUUAAGCAUGCAAGUCGAACGGCAUGAGGAAGCUUGCUUCCUCAGAGAGUGGCGGACUGGUGAGUAACACGUGGGUGACCUACCCUUGAGAUGGGGAUAGCCGUUAGAAAUAGCGGAUAAUACCGAAUACGCUCUACGGACUCUGGUUUGUAGAGGAAACAGGCUACGGCCUGGCUCGAGGAUGGGCCCGCGUCCCAUUAGCUAGUUGGUGAGGUAAGAGCCCACCAAGGCGACGAUGGGUAUCCGGCCUGAGAGGGUGUACGGACACAUUGGGACUGAGAUACGGCCCAAACUCCUACGGGAGGCAGCAGCUAAGAAUAUUCCGCAAUGGACGAAAGUCUGACGGAGCGACGCCGCGUGGAUGACGAAGGCCGAAAGGUUGUAAAAUCCUUUUGCUGAUGAAGAAUAAGCGUGGUAGGGAAUGACCGCGUGAUGACAUUAGUCGGUGAAUAAGCCCCGGCUAACUACGUGCCAGCAGCCG